RNAcentral lists this non-coding RNA (181 nucleotides) under Christensenella hongkongensis. The record is from RNAcentral. Lineage: Bacteria; Bacillati; Bacillota; Clostridia; Christensenellales; Christensenellaceae.
UAAUAUUUGCUUUUUAUAGGUGGCCGGCAUUGCCGGUCUGGGAAACAGGUGCAAGUCCUGUACGGUACCGCCGCUGUAAUUACGGAGUAUCGGUCCAAUAAAGCCACUGGAGUUUUCCGGGAAGGCGGGCCGGAUGCGUCGAUGUAAAAGUCAGAAGACAGGCCUAUGAAACGACAUAAUA